AACCCAUGGUGAGGGCACCUUCUCAAUAGAUCUUUGUAACUCUCCUAUGCAUCAUAGAGUGUUUCUAGAUCCAUCUGCACAAAAGAAGAGAUAUCAUUCCUCAACUU
RNAcentral lists this small nucleolar RNA (107 nucleotides) under Gossypium arboreum. Its description in RNAcentral is "Plant small nucleolar RNA R71". It matches the Rfam family "Plant small nucleolar RNA R71". Rfam says of the family: R71 is a member of the C/D box family of snoRNAs containing the C (UGAUGA) and D (CUGA) box motifs. Multiple nearly identical copies of this snoRNA have been identified in Arabidopsis, and it is thought to function as a 2'-O-ribose methylation guide for 18S ribosomal RNA. Lineage: Eukaryota; Viridiplantae; Streptophyta; Magnoliopsida; Malvales; Malvaceae. The record is from Rfam by way of RNAcentral.